RNAcentral lists this transfer RNA (84 nucleotides) under Wolfiporia cocos. RNAcentral describes it as "tRNA-Ser". It matches the Rfam family "tRNA". Rfam says of the family: Transfer RNA (tRNA) molecules are approximately 80 nucleotides in length. Their secondary structure includes four short double-helical elements and three loops (D, anti-codon, and T loops). Lineage: Eukaryota; Fungi; Basidiomycota; Agaricomycetes; Polyporales; Phaeolaceae. RNAcentral also lists the same sequence under 1 other name. The record is from RNAcentral.
GGGCACUUGGCAGAGUGGUUUAUUGCGCUCGUCUUGAAAACGAGUACUUCAAAAAAGUCCUGAGUUCGACUCUCAGAGUUCCCG